AGAGAUGCUAAACCAUACAAUCGGGAAAAAGAUAUCAAUAGAAGAGGACAUCAUUUCCUUCAAAACACUGUCUGAACAGUGCUCUACAAUAGAUGACCAAUCGGGUAGAUUACAAAGUUAGUAUUUAGAAUGUGGAGAAACUUUGUCUAAACUGAAAAGAUUGGUAAAGGAAGAACAAGUUAAGCCUGAACAUGGAAGAAUAGCCUCAGCAACCAACUCGUCUUAUGACAGUGUCUUAGAAUUUGUACGUUCUUUUUUGCUUCAAAAUAAUUUUUCGGAAACUUUAGCAUCCUUUCAGAACGAA
This 304-nucleotide long non-coding RNA is filed under the name Octopus sinensis (East Asian common octopus). RNAcentral's name for it is "uncharacterized LOC118761962". The record is from RNAcentral. Lineage: Eukaryota; Metazoa; Mollusca; Cephalopoda; Octopoda; Octopodidae.